AUUGAACGCUGGCGGCAUGCCUUACACAUGCAAGUCGAACGGCGGCACGGGUGCUUGCACCUGGUGGCGAGUGGCGAACGGGUGAGUAAUAUAUCGGAACGUACCUUAUUGUGGGGGAUAACGCAGCGAAAGCUGUGCUAAUACCGCAUAAUCCCUAAGGGGGAAAGCGGGGGACCGUAAGGCCUCGCGCAAUUAGAGCGGCCGAUACCUGAUUAGCUAGUUGGUGAGGUAAAGGCUCACCAAGGCAACGAUCAGUAGCUGGUCUGAGAGGACGAUCAGCCACACUGGGACUGGGACACGGCCCAGACUCCUACGGGAGGCAGCAGUGGGGAAUUUUGGACAAUGGGGGCAACCCUGAUCCAGCAAUGCCGCGUGAGUGAAGAAGGCCUUCGGGUCGUAAAGCUCUUUUGUCAGGGAAGAAACAGCAGCUCUAACACAGUAUGCGAAUGACGGUACCUGAAGAAUAAGCACCGGCUAACUACGUGCCAGCCGCCGCCGUAA
Molecule: ribosomal RNA, 501 nt
Filed under: uncultured bacterium
Lineage: Bacteria
Description: partial 16S ribosomal RNA
Rfam family: Bacterial small subunit ribosomal RNA
Source: RNAcentral